This 974-nucleotide ribosomal RNA is filed under the name uncultured bacterium. RNAcentral's name for it is "bacterial SSU rRNA". It matches the Rfam family "Bacterial small subunit ribosomal RNA", at positions 338 to 1311 of the family's 1533-position model. The record is from RNAcentral.
CCUACGGGAGGCAGCAGUCGAGAAUCUUCGGCAAUGGGCGCAAGCCCGACCGAGCGACGCCGCGUGGAGGACGAAGGCCUUCGGGUUGUAAACUCCUGUCGGGGGGGAACAAGGGCCGGCGCAGACCCGGCCUCGAGUGAUCCCCGGAGGAAGCACGGGCUAAGUUCGUGCCAGCAGCCGCGGUAAGACGAACCGUGCGAACGUUAUUCGGAAUCACUGGGCUUAAAGGGCGCGUAGACGGGCGACCGCGUCGAUGGCUGAAAGCCCCCGGCUCAACCGGGGAACGGGCCUCGAUACGGGUCGCCUUGAGUGGAGGAGGGGGACCUGGAACUUCCGGUGGAGCGGUGAAAUGCGUUGAGAUCGGAAGGAACGCCCGUGGCGAAAGCGAGGUCCUGGACUCCGACUGACGUUGAGGCGCGAAAGCCAGGGGAGCGAACGGGAUUAGAUACCCCGGUAGUCCUGGCCGUAAACCAUGGGCACUGGGUAGGGGGCUCGCCGAUGGGCUCCCUGCCGCAACGAAAGCGUGAAGUGCCCCGCCUGGGGAGUAUGGUCGCAAGGCUGAAACUCAAAGGAAUUGACGGGGGCUCACACAAGCGGUGGAGCAUGUGGCUUAAUUCGAGGCUACGCGCAAAACCUUAUCCCGGGCUUGACAUGCACGGAUUAACCGGCGGAAACGUCGGCCACGCCGCAAGGUGGAACGUGCACAGGUGCUGCAUGGCUGUCGUCAGCUCGUGUCGCGAGAUGUUGGGUUCAGUCCCGUAACGAGCGAAACCCCUGUGACUAGUUGCUAGCACAUCAUGGUGGGCACUCUAGUCAGACCGCCGGCGUCAAGCCGGAGGAUGCGGGGACGACGUCAAGUCCUCAUGACCUUAUGCCCGGGGCCGCACACGUGCUACAAUGGGCCGGACAAAGCGUCGCAGAGCGCAAGGUCGAUCCAUCGCAAAACCGUCCUCAGUUCGGAUUGCGGCUGCAAU